UACGGGGGUGGCAAGCGUUGUUCGGAAUUACUGGGCGUAAAGGGCUCGUAGGUGGCCAACUAAGUCAGACGUGAAAUCCCUCAGCUUAACUGGGGAACUGCGUCUGAUACUGGAUGGCUUGAGAUUGGGAGAGGGAUGCGGAAUUCCAGGUGUAGCGGUGAAAUGCGUAGAUAUCUGGAGGAACACCGGUGGCGAAGGCGGCAUCCUGGACCAACACUGACACUGAGGAGCGAAAGCCAGGGGAGCAAACGGG
This 253-nucleotide ribosomal RNA is filed under the name uncultured bacterium. RNAcentral describes it as "partial 16S ribosomal RNA". It matches the Rfam family "Bacterial small subunit ribosomal RNA", at positions 524 to 776 of the family's 1533-position model. The record is from RNAcentral.